RNAcentral lists this ribosomal RNA (400 nucleotides) under uncultured bacterium. RNAcentral describes it as "bacterial SSU rRNA". It matches the Rfam family "Bacterial small subunit ribosomal RNA", at positions 355 to 752 of the family's 1533-position model. The record is from RNAcentral.
UAAGGAAUAUUGGUCAAUGGACGCAAGUCUGAACCAGCCAUGCCGCGUGGAGGAUGAAGGUCCUCUGGAUUGUAAACUUCUUUUCUCUGGGACGAAACCCCCGAUUUCUAUCGGGCCUGACGGUACCAGAGGAAUAAGCACCGGCUAACUCCGUGCCAGCAGCCGCGGUAAUACGGAGGGUGCAAGCGUUAUCCGGAUUUACUGGGUUUAAAGGGAGCGUAGGCGGGCAGUUAAGUCAGUGGUGAAAUCUCUGGGCUUAACCCGGAAACUGCCAUUGAUACUAUCUGUCUUGAAUAUUCUGGAGGUAAGCGGAAUAUGUCAUGUAGCGGUGAAAUGCUUAGAUAUGACAUAGAACACCCAUUGCGAAGGCAGCUUACUACGGGAUUAUUGACGCUGAGGC